RNAcentral lists this ribosomal RNA (575 nucleotides) under uncultured bacterium. RNAcentral describes it as "bacterial SSU rRNA". It matches the Rfam family "Bacterial small subunit ribosomal RNA", at positions 8 to 578 of the family's 1533-position model. The record is from RNAcentral.
AGAGUUUGAUCAUGGCUCAGAUUGAACGCUGGCGGCAGGCCUAACACAUGCAAGUCGAGCGGAUGAGAGGAGCUUGCUCCUUGAUUUAGCGGCGGACGGGUGAGUAAUGCCUAGGAAUCUGCCUGGUAGUGGGGGAUAACGUUCCGAAAGGAACGCUAAUACCGCAUACGUCCUACGGGAGAAAGCAGGGGACCUUCGGGCCUUGCGCUAUCAGAUGAGCCUAGGUCGGAUUAGCUAGUUGGUGAGGUAAUGGCUCACCAAGGCGACGAUCCGUAACUGGUCUGAGAGGAUGAUCAGUCACACUGGAACUGAGACACGGUCCAGACUCCUACGGGAGGCAGCAGUGGGGAAUAUUGGACAAUGGGCGAAAGCCUGAUCCAGCCAUGCCGCGUGUGUGAAGAAGGUCUUCGGAUUGUAAAGCACUUUAAGUUGGGAGGAAGGGCAUUAACCUAAUACGUUAGUGUUUUGACGUUACCGACAGAAUAAGCACCGGCUAACUUCGUGCCAGCAGCCGCGGUAAUACGAAGGGUGCAAGCGUUAAUCGGAAUUACUGGGCGUAAAGCGCGCGUAGGUGG